UAAUUGAAGAGUUUGAUCAUGGCUCAGAUUGAACGCUGGCGGCAGGCCUAACACAUGCAAGUCGAGCGGUAACAGGGGAAGCUUGCUUCCCGCUGACGAGCGGCGGACGGGUGAGUAAUGUAUGGGGAUCUGCCCGAUAGAGGGGGAUAACUACUGGAAACGGUAGCUAAUACCGCAUAAUCUCUCAGGAGCAAAGCAGGGGAACUUCGGUCCUUGC
This 217-nucleotide ribosomal RNA is filed under the name Providencia rettgeri. Its description in RNAcentral is "partial 16S ribosomal RNA". It matches the Rfam family "Bacterial small subunit ribosomal RNA", at positions 1 to 216 of the family's 1533-position model. Lineage: Bacteria; Pseudomonadati; Pseudomonadota; Gammaproteobacteria; Enterobacterales; Morganellaceae. The record is from RNAcentral.